Molecule: ribosomal RNA, 1434 nt
Filed under: Triticum aestivum (bread wheat)
Lineage: Eukaryota; Viridiplantae; Streptophyta; Magnoliopsida; Poales; Poaceae
Description: partial small subunit ribosomal RNA
Source: RNAcentral
AUGAGGGGAUUGGGCUUUGCGGCGUUAUCGUUACAUGUUCUGUUGUGCCUGGUUAAUGGCGUUUCCUCUCGCCGCACGAGCUCCUAUGUGCGCUCGGAGUUCCCGUCUACCGAUAUGCCUCUAGACAGCGAGUGGUUUGCGACUCCCAAGGGCUACAAUGCUCCACAGCAGGUUCAUAUCACGCAAGGUGACUAUGAUGGAAAGGCUGUUAUAAUAUCAUGGGUCACUCCAUCGGAGCCUGCGCCGAGUCAAGUGUUUUACAGUAAAGAAGAGAACCGCUAUGAUCAGAAGGCCGAAGGGACAAUGACAAAUUAUACAUUUUACGACUAUAAAUCUGGAUACAUACACCAUUGCCUUGUUGAUGGCCUUCAGUACAACACUAAAUAUUAUUACAAGAUAGGUACCGGGGAUUCAGCUCGAGAAUUUUGGUUUCAAACACCUCCAGCAAUUGACAUAGAUGCAUCAUACACAUUUGGCAUCAUAGGUGAUCUGGGGCAAACAUUCAAUUCUCUAUCAACUCUUCAACAUUAUUUGAAAAGCGGAGGAGAAAGUGUUCUAUUUGUUGGGGAUUUGUCAUAUGCUGAUAGAUAUCAACAUAAUGAUGGUAUUCGUUGGGAUUCUUGGGGUCGAUUUGUUGAACGUAGCACUGCAUAUCAACCAUGGAUCUGGAAUUCUGGAAAUCAUGAAAUAGAAUACAGGCCUGAUCUGGGAGAAACUUCUACAUUUAAGCCAUAUCUGCAUAGAUAUUCAACACCAUAUUUGGCAUCGAAGAGCAGCUCCCCAAUGUGGUAUGCAGUCAGGCGUGCAUCUGCUCAUAUUAUCGUGCUCUCCAGCUAUUCUCCUUUUGUAAAAUACACUCCCCAAUGGAUGUGGCUGAAGGGCGAACUCAAGCGCGUGGACAGGGAGAAGACACCUUGGCUUAUUGUUCUCAUGCAUGCUCCCAUGUACAACAGCAAUGAUGCGCAUUUUAUGGAGGGCGAGAGUAUGAGGGCUGCUUUCGAGAAGUGGUUUGUCAAGUACAAGGUGGACUUGGUAUUUGCAGGUCAUGUCCAUGCCUAUGAGAGAUCGUACCGGAUAUCUAAUAUCAACUACAACGUAACAUCGGGGAACCGAUACCCCGUGCCUGACAAAUCCGCUCCUGUGUACAUCACGGUCGGCGAUGGAGGCAACCAGGAAGGACUCGCCUGGAGGUUCAGUGAUCCGCAGCCGGACUACUCCGCGUUCAGGGAGGCGAGCUACGGCCACUCGACCCUGCAGUUGAUAAACCGGACGCACGCCGUGUAUCAGUGGAACCGGAACGACGACGGGAAGCACGUGCCCACGGACAACGUGGUGUUCCACAACCAGUACUGGGCGAGCAACACGCGGCGCAGGCGGCUGAAGAAGAAGCACCUCCGGUACGAGAGCCUCGAGGGCCUCAUGUCCAUGCUCUAG